GUAUACACCUGAUAUGUGUAUG
Molecule: microRNA, 22 nt
Filed under: Homo sapiens (human)
Lineage: Eukaryota; Metazoa; Chordata; Mammalia; Primates; Hominidae
Description: hsa-miR-4789-5p
Source: miRBase by way of RNAcentral